AUUGAACGCUGGCGGCAUGCCUUACACAUGCAAGUCGAACGGCAGCGCGGGAGCAAUCCUGGCGGCGAGUGGCGAACGGGUGAGUAAUAUAUCGGAACGUGCCCAGUAGUGGGGGAUAGCCCGGCGAAAGCCGGAUUAAUACCGCAUGAGACCUGAGGGUGAAAGCGGGGGAUCGCAAGACCUCGCGCUAUUGGAGCGGCCGAUAUCAGAUUAGCUAGUUGGUGGGGUAAAGGCCUACCAAGGCAACGAUCUGUAGUUGGCCUGAGAGGACGACCAGCCACACUGGGACUGAGACACGGCCCAGACUCCUACGGGAGGCAGCAGUGGGGAAUUUUGGACAAUGGGCGCAAGCCUGAUCCAGCAAUGCCGCGUGCAGGAAGAAGGC
Molecule: ribosomal RNA, 385 nt
Filed under: uncultured bacterium
Lineage: Bacteria
Description: bacterial SSU rRNA
Rfam family: Bacterial small subunit ribosomal RNA
Source: RNAcentral